Molecule: long non-coding RNA, 1140 nt
Organism: Panicum virgatum (switchgrass)
Lineage: Eukaryota; Viridiplantae; Streptophyta; Magnoliopsida; Poales; Poaceae
Exons: 2
Source: RefSeq, a predicted model, not a curated record
UCGGUGCAUGAACUUGUGAGAGAGGGGAAGAGGAGCAGAACAAGAGCAGCAAGGCCAAUGAAAGUUCUGCCGAAUCUGUUGCUGUAUUUCAUGUGUGAGAAGUGGAUUGCCCUCAUGGCUUCUUUCCAGAAAUCAGGAUGGAAGGUGGAAGGAGAAGCAUAGGGCUUCUUUCCAGAAAUCAGGAUGGAUGGAAGGAGAAGCAUAGGGCUUCUUUCCAGAAAUCAGGAUGGAAGGAGAAGCAUAAGUUGUCUCCGUUUUUUUGAAAGUUUGUUUUCAAUUUCCAGAAACAGGGAUCUCAAAGACCUUCUGUGGAACAGGGUCUGAUAUAGAAAGAGCAUGAGGACAAGCAGGACAAGGUGCUGUCUCCGUUUUGUUUGAUCCUUCUGAAUCAGUCACCAAAAGGAAAUCUGGGUCAAGGGUUAGGUGCUACAGUGUUUUCUGAGCUUUUUUUUUUGAAAGUAUGUUUUCUGAGUUCACACCAUGAUGUUUCGUCUGAGCCUUUGUUGCUUCACUAUUAAUUCAGACAAAAUUUGAGCCAAGGAUGUGCCACCAUCCGGUGAUCAGGAAAAGACAUGAUUUGCGAGUCCUGAAUUGGUGAGGAUCAUGGCAAGCAUCCAUUAACAAAAGACUAGUAAAAUUCAGAGCAACCAUUGACGUCGCGAUCAACUUGGCCGCAGAGGUGCAAGUUGUGUGCAAGAUAAUGGCAGAUCAAUGGAGGAAUUGUCGCCGAGUGCUCUUUUCUUCUUGACCCGAGGCGUUUACUUUCUAGCCGUUGUCGUCGUACAGGAGUAGCUGUUGCUGAUGUAUACGUCUGCGAAUUGCAACUUUCCUUUCUCCCUGCCCCUGUGGUUCACGGUGGACAUUGGACAAGUACCUGUUUCUAGGGGGGUCGAGGUGUAUAAACUACAGAGGAAUCAUCUGAUCUGAUGAAGACUAGGCCAACAGCUCCGAAGAAAAAAUAUUGCAUGGAUUUGUUUUUUGCGGCUAUGUUUUAAUUAUUGUGGAUGAUUUUUGUUUGGAAGGUGAUGAGUAACUGACACUGUACUUUUAUAUUUGUUCAUGUUACUGUAGCUAGGGCCUUACGGUGCCAGUGGCUGAUAUUCUGCCAAAUUUGCUUAUCUUGCAUUUCCCUUUUGUUUA